Molecule: transfer RNA, 72 nt
Filed under: Camelus bactrianus (Bactrian camel)
Lineage: Eukaryota; Metazoa; Chordata; Mammalia; Artiodactyla; Camelidae
Also listed under: 2 other names
Rfam family: tRNA
About the family: Transfer RNA (tRNA) molecules are approximately 80 nucleotides in length.
Source: Rfam by way of RNAcentral
GAGGGUGUAGCUCAGUGGUAGAGUGCAUGCUUAGCAUGCAAGAGGUCCUGGGUUCAAUCCCCAGUACCUCCA